This 431-nucleotide ribosomal RNA is filed under the name uncultured bacterium. Its description in RNAcentral is "partial 16S ribosomal RNA". It matches the Rfam family "Bacterial small subunit ribosomal RNA", at positions 29 to 507 of the family's 1533-position model. The record is from RNAcentral.
AACGAACGCUGGCGGCAGGCUUAACACAUGCAAGUCGAACGCCCCGCCAGGGGAGUGGCCGCCGGGUGAGUAACACGUGGGAACAUGCCCAAAGGUACGGAAUAUUCUCGGGAAACUGAGAGCAAUACCGUAUGUGCCCGAAAGGGGAAAGAUUUAUCGCCUUUGGAUUGGCCCGCGUCGGAUUAGCUAGUUGGUGGGGUAAAAGCCUACCAAGGCGACGAUCCGUAGCUGGUCUGAGAGGACGACCAGCCACACUGGGACUGAGACACGGCCCAGACUCCUACGGGAGGCAGCAGUGGGGAAUCUUGGACAAUGGGCGCAAGCCUGAUCCAGCCAUGCCGCGUGGAUGAUGAAGGCCCUAGGGUUGUAAAAUCCUUUCGUUGGGGACGAUAAUGACGGUACCCAAAGAAGAAGCGCCGGCUAACUUCGUG